Molecule: ribosomal RNA, 378 nt
Filed under: uncultured bacterium
Lineage: Bacteria
Description: bacterial SSU rRNA
Rfam family: Bacterial small subunit ribosomal RNA
Source: RNAcentral
GAAGAACCUUACCUACCCUUGACAUGCCAGGAAUCCUGUAGAGAUAUGGGAGUGCUUGAAAGAGAACCUGGACACAGGUGCUGCAUGGCUGUCGUCAGCUUGUGUUGUGAGAUGUUGGGUUAAGUCCCGCAACGAGCGCAACCCUUGUCCUUAGUUGCCAUCAUUCAGUUGGGCACUCUAAUGAGACUGCCGGUGACAAACCGGAGGAAGGUGGGGAUGACGUCAAGUCCUCAUGGCCCUUAUGGGUAGGGCUUCACACGUCAUACAAUGGUCGGUACAAAGGGUUGCCAAGCCGCGAGGUGGAGCCAAUCCCGAAAAGCCGAUCGUAGUCCGGAUCGGAGUCUGCAACUCGACUCCGUGAAGUGGGAAUCGGUAGUA